AGUUUUGUGGUGUAGCAGCAUGCCAGAUUGCAAACCUGGUGGCGUAGAAUAAACUCUACCAAAGCUU
Molecule: transfer RNA, 67 nt
Filed under: Gymnothorax undulatus (undulated moray)
Lineage: Eukaryota; Metazoa; Chordata; Actinopteri; Anguilliformes; Muraenidae
Description: tRNA-Cys
Rfam family: tRNA
About the family: Transfer RNA (tRNA) molecules are approximately 80 nucleotides in length. Their secondary structure includes four short double-helical elements and three loops (D, anti-codon, and T loops).
Source: RNAcentral